UGGGGAAUAUUGCACAAUGGGGGAAACCCUGAUGCAGCGACGCCGCGUGAGCGAAUAAGGCCUUUGGGUCGUAAAGCUCCUUUAUGAGGGAAGAUAAUGACGGUACCUCAAGAAAAAGCCUCGGCUAACUACGUGCCAGCAGCCGCGGUAAUACGUAGGGGGCUAGCGUUGUCCGGAAUCACUGGGGGUAAAGGGUUCGCAGGCGGAAUAACAAGUCAGAUGUGAAAGGCAUGGGCUCAACCCAUGUAAGCAUUUGAAACUGUAAUUCUUGAGAAGUGGAGAGGUAAGUGGAAUUCCUAGUGUAGCGGUGAAAUGCGUAGAUAUUAGGAGGAAUACCUGUGGCGAAGGCGACUUACUGGACACAAAUCUGACGCUGAGGAACGAAAGCGUGGGUAGCAAACAGG
This 404-nucleotide ribosomal RNA is filed under the name Verrucomicrobiota bacterium. Its description in RNAcentral is "Verrucomicrobia bacterium partial 16S ribosomal RNA". It matches the Rfam family "Bacterial small subunit ribosomal RNA", at positions 355 to 776 of the family's 1533-position model. Lineage: Bacteria; Pseudomonadati; Verrucomicrobiota. The record is from RNAcentral.